CAGAAAAACCUCCACCAUUCGAAGAUGGGCUUCUGAUGUCCAUCCCUUGGAAGAACUUCAGAGCUGCAGGGAAGGCUGUAUCUGUAAUGUGCACCUGCAGCACAGCCUAAUUAUACUUACAUGGAGGCUGGGCUGACUGAACAUAGAGGGAGCUGCAGAGUCUGUCCUCACCCAGCCAGCUCCUCUCAGGCGGUUCCCAUGGGCCUUUGAGAGUUCAGCCAGAGCUGGUCGGGUGAGGAAGUGACUCUGCAGCAGGUUCGUGACUUGCAUGCUAGAGGGGGGCUGGCCGGCUGAUCGGGAGCGGCUGAUGGAGAAUGAAGUGCCCCCAACAUAGCGGGAGAUGCCGAUCACCUACCAGACUCAAAGAGGCAGGAGCCCACACCACCCUCAGGGAGGGAUGAGCCAAACCUACACCAGGCAAAACAGGUGCCCCCUUCAAGACUAGCACCCCCUGCACCUUGGGCAAGA
Pseudophryne corroboree (corroboree frog) is the source of this 468-nucleotide long non-coding RNA. RefSeq lists it as uncharacterized. The record is from RefSeq and is a predicted model, not a curated record. Lineage: Eukaryota; Metazoa; Chordata; Amphibia; Anura; Myobatrachidae. The transcript has 2 exons.